GUAACCACAAAUUAUUGUAAAAAUAAAGCAAAGUUAACAAAGGGACGAAGAUAUACUCUGGAAAAAAGAAUUAGAAGAAAAAAAUAAAAAUUAAGAGACGAGACAAAUAUAGAUGACGAUGAAAUAGAAAAAGAAAUUAAUGGUAUUGAAGAAGAGCUAAAUAAGAUAUAUGAUGAAAAAGCGAAGGGAGCUCAAGUGAGAUCUAGAGAAAAAUGGGUAGAGUUUGGUGAAAAAAAUAAUUCUUACUUCCUUGGGUUAGAAAAAAAAAGACAAGUUAAAAAAUCUAUAAGUAAGCUAAUGGGAGAUAAUGGGGAAAUAAUUUCGGAUCAAGAGAAACUUUUAAAUAAAAUAAAAGAUUAUUAUGAAAACUUGUAUAACAAAAAAAGUUUAAAUAAAGAUUUAACAGAAGAAUAUAUCAGCGAUACAAAAUUAGAAAAUACCGUUGAUGAAAAUGACAAACUAAUAUGCGAUGGGAAAAUUACAGUGGAGGAAUGCACAUAUGGUAUCUUUAAAAUGAAAUUAAAUAAAUCUCCAGGUCUUGAUGGACUUACGGUAGAAUUUUAUAGAUUUUUUUGGAAUAAACUUAAAUCACUACUAGUAAAUGUCUUAAAUACAGGAUACGAUAGAAACAGUCUUUCAUAUUCACAACGUACUAGUAUAUUAACUUUGAUAUUUAAAAAGGGGG
Molecule: long non-coding RNA, 685 nt
Filed under: Mytilus galloprovincialis (Mediterranean mussel)
Lineage: Eukaryota; Metazoa; Mollusca; Bivalvia; Mytilida; Mytilidae
Source: RNAcentral